Molecule: small nuclear RNA, 158 nt
Organism: Hibiscus syriacus
Lineage: Eukaryota; Viridiplantae; Streptophyta; Magnoliopsida; Malvales; Malvaceae
Product: U1 spliceosomal RNA
Exons: 1
Source: RefSeq, a predicted model, not a curated record
AUAUUUACCUGGAUGAGGUCAAUGGACAAUAAUCAAGGUUCAUGGCCUAGGUAAGCGACCUCCAUUGCAAUUGGGAGGGGCGCUCGCCUAAGAUUUUUUCACUGUAGGAGAUCCUACGUUAUAAUUUGUGGUAGUUAAUGAGUUUGUGCUUGCAUCGA